GGCGAUGUAGCUCAGCUGGUUAGAGCACGGAACUCAUAAUUCCGGGGUCGGUGGUUCGAGUCCACCCAUCGCCA
RNAcentral lists this transfer RNA (74 nucleotides) under Bdellovibrionales bacterium. RNAcentral's name for it is "tRNA-Met". It matches the Rfam family "tRNA". From Rfam's summary of the family: Transfer RNA (tRNA) molecules are approximately 80 nucleotides in length. Their secondary structure includes four short double-helical elements and three loops (D, anti-codon, and T loops). The record is from RNAcentral. Lineage: Bacteria; Pseudomonadati; Bdellovibrionota; Bdellovibrionia; Bdellovibrionales.